CUCUCAAAAUGGCUAAACAAGUCUCAAUUCUCUCGCUCUUUCUUCUCUGCAUCUUCUUGGCUUCUCAGGAGAUAAUGGUGACCGAAGCAGUGGAAUGCACAAUAAAAAGCACUUUGUGGACUGAGCUUUGCCCAUUUGAUGCCAGAGUAAAGGACUUAUGCAACAAAACUUGUAUUAGAGAAAACUACAUAUGGGGUGAUUGCGAAAACUUAGAUUGUAUGUGCCAUUAUGAUUGCUAGUGGAAUUGAACUUAGAUUUUGUUGCCAAUAUUAGGCAUCAGAAUUUAUGUAUUUUGAUAUACAUGUUGCCAAUAAUAAUAUCGAAAUGGAAAUUUGAAUUUCCGAUGUUUUCAA
Molecule: long non-coding RNA, 353 nt
Organism: Salvia hispanica
Lineage: Eukaryota; Viridiplantae; Streptophyta; Magnoliopsida; Lamiales; Lamiaceae
Source: RefSeq, a predicted model, not a curated record